GCUGCUCGUAGGGCACGUCCAGCAUCUGGUCCAGGCCCACACCGCGAAAAAAAGGUUUACCACAGUGGCUCAAGGAAAACGGAACCAGAGUAAGACAGUUUCUACUUGGACUUGGGGAACCAGCAAACUCAUUCACUUACAAUCAAGAACAAACCGAUUAAAUUGAAUAAAGGUCACUCAAAGGAGCCAAGCCCCUUUGUCAAAUCAGGAGCUCCAUCAGCCAAUCAGGAACCCAGAUGCCAGCGUGGGAGUUUGUCAGUGGAAAUAACAUUGCAUGACUUCCAAGUCUGGAGAAUGAAAUUGAGGAUCAGAGAGUCUACAUAGCUUGCCUAGAGACAAACAACUAGGAUGGGCAGUGCCAGGAUCAAACUCUUACGGUCAAGCUCCAAGACUUACUAUGCAAACAGGGGAAUGUGUAGGAAGAGAGGUGCUACAAUACAAUUGGAAGUGGUAGAAACUGUGGUUAGCUGAAGAAAGCAAGACCAUCCAAAGGCUAAGAUAGGUCUAUGGGUAAAUGAUGCAUUCAGUCUACACCCCUGGACAAUGUCACACUGCCUCUGCUUUGGGAGUCUUACA
Molecule: long non-coding RNA, 576 nt
Filed under: Homo sapiens (human)
Lineage: Eukaryota; Metazoa; Chordata; Mammalia; Primates; Hominidae
Description: HSALNT0218610
Source: RNAcentral